Salvia splendens (bonfire salvia) is the source of this 4371-nucleotide RNA transcript. RefSeq lists it as uncharacterized. NCBI's taxonomy places the organism in Eukaryota, Viridiplantae, Streptophyta, Magnoliopsida, Lamiales, Lamiaceae. The record is from RefSeq and is a predicted model, not a curated record. The transcript is spliced from 15 exons.
AGUUCCAGGAUUUUUGAAUGAAGAUGAUGUACAACUGCUGAAGUAAUUUGAAUAUAUGCCUUCCUUCCAUGCUGAAAUCGGGUUAUUUGUAAGUCAGUUUGAGUUCCGAAUCGUUCGUGCUGCAUCGGAAGAUCAUUUAGUCCAUGUAAAACCUCUCUGGCUUAACAUAUGGAUGUCAUUCAUCUUUUUCCAUAAAUGAGCUUGGGAAGAGGUGGACUGCAGGAGCAACUAGCUUCCUAUAUUGGACUCCCGGCCAUGAUGAAAAAAAGAGUAGGGGAUAAGCUUUUUAAAAAGGAAUUUUAAUGCCAGAAAAGGAAGGUAGGAAGAUACAUCGGUAGAGGUUUGCUUUCAGCAUUUUGGUAUGUGAGAAGGUACCAGGUUUGCAGCCGGCAGGAAAUCCGAGCUUUUAUUGUAGUCGUCAAAUCUUGGUCUUUGAGGAUUCUGGAAAAACUUUCCGUUUGAGUCAGAUUACAGAGCAAUCAUGCUGCUUUGAGGCUACUGAGAUAAUUCAGCAUAUUCUAGUGUUACUCGUAGUCGAUUUGAUGGCCUCUCUAAGCAUUUAGAUUCAUUCUUGCAAAUGUUAUCUCAUGUGCAACUAAGGUGUUUUCCGUGAUAGUUCCUAGUGCAUAAAUAGACUAGAAAGUACUUAGUCGAUCAGAAGGUCGAGGGUGGUAAGGGGACUGAGUUAUUAACAUAAAAGAAACGGGUGGAAAGGGUGGAAAAUUGAAGGCACAAGUCUAUUUAUUGAUUUUUGAGCUAGCUUUGCUUGAUCUUCUGCCUCUUGGUUGUUGCACCUAUAUUUUUCUACUUAUUUAAUUCACUCUUUGCUACAUUUUGCAGAUUUAAAAUUAAUCUGUUAAAUAUAUUAUGUUUUUGUGAGUUAUACAGUGCCUGACGUUUUUCUACUUUUUUCUAAUCCACUGUUUGCUGUCUUACUGCUUUAUAAAUAACACAUACAUAGUAUCCUAUUUUUCUGUCUCAUAUGCCUGUACAAAUAUGUGCUAUAUUAGUGUUUCUCUGAUAUAUAAACUCCCAUUGAUUGUCAAAUCUUGGCAUCUUAAUAUCUGUUUUUACAGGCUCAUUCCCAAGUACUUACUAGACACAUUUCCUUUUUUACUUUGGCAUUAGGUUUGUUGUACUUGCAUCUAAAAAAGAAAUCAUGGGUCUUGGAAGCUGGUUGAGCAGUCAAUUGGGUCUACAACAAAUGUUUAUAGCAUUUACCGUACAAUAAGCAUUGCAAUAUCUGCACUUUGAGAAGAUUUUGCCUUUUAUACAUAUGCAGUUUUCAGUUUCUCAUUUUGCCCUACUGUUAACAUGGACAAUUGUUUUGUUUAGGUUCUUGCAUUGCUGAAAAAAUGUUUGGUAUAGAUUCAAGAGAGUUAAAUGCUCCCUCCGAGGAAAGUUACCCGAAGGGCCAACUGGAACGUAAUACAAAGCGCUUGGCAGAUGUCGUCUCAGAUGCUUCAAAUUUUCAGUCAUUCAUUAUGAUGAACUUUGGAAGCUUUAGCAACAAUCUUUCUACUCCCUCUGGAGAGUUUGUAUCUGGCUGGUGCUCGUCUAACAUUCUAGUUUGUGAAGAGGAUGCACCAUUAAAAUGAGAAGGAUCUGUUUCUCAACAUGUUCAUUCGGGUCAUAGAGAAGGACUAUUAGAAACUGUCAGAUGGGAAAGUGUCCACAGUUAGCAAUAACUUGUGUUCACUGUUAUGUCAUGCAUAGUCUUUAGUUCCAGGAUUUUUGAAUGAAGAUGAUGUACAACUGCUGAGGGAAUACGCUUCAUAAAAAGGAAUUUUAGUGCCAGAAAAGGAAGGUAGGAAGGUAAGACUGAUCUUGUAAAGAUGACAGGAAAGAUGGUAGUAUAUAUUUAAAGAAAACAAUUUAAUCGAUCACUCAAAAUUAAAUGUUGGAAUGUUUCGAAGAUGAUCUAAAUUGACAGAGUAUUAUGUUUUUUUGUUCUGAUAAAGAUAUAAUGGUAGAGGUUUGUUUUCAGCAUUUUGGUAUGCGAGAAGGAACCAGUUUCCAGCAGGUGGGAAAUCCGAGCUUUUAUUGUAGUCGUCAAAUCCUGGGUCUUGUGAAUGUGCUUAUUUGUCUAAGUUGCUUGAGGGCGAGCAAGACUUCUGUUUGGGGGGUAUUUGAUGUGUGUGGUUAAUUUAACUUGUUAUUAUACAAUGGAUGGAAUGGAGGGUAGCAUACUACUACUCCAGUUCAAUUUUGACCACCUCACUAUUAAUUCCACUGAGUUGAAGGGUAUAAAGCUGCAACUAAUAUUUAUAUUUUUAUAAACCUAACUUUAGUUCGAUAUUUAGUGUGUCAUUUCAUACUAAAGCCAUCAAUGAAGAACUACUGCAAAAUCUUUCUGAUGCUCUACACUUGUCGGUACCUGAUAAAAUUAGGGUUGGACUUCUUUGUCUAAUUUUGAAGAACACGAUAUCUUCACGAUACCAGGAUGUGUGGUUAGUUAUUCUCUUCUUUGUACAUACAUUUAGAUAUAAUUUUUUGUUUAGUUGUAGGAAGUGGAAUACAUACAACAGUCUAUUAUUUUUGUAUCCUUGGAAUUCUUCUACCUGUUGCACUAAACCUGUAACCCUUUUCUUGGCUGUAUGCAGGAAAGAAUUUCUGUCUGAUUUAGAUUACUGAGCUGUCUGCCAAUUCUGCAGCGUUUGAGGCUACUGAUAUAAUUUAGCAUAUUCUCGUGUCACUCUUAGUCGAUUUGAAGGCCUCUCUAAGCAUUUAGAUUCAUUCUACUUGAAGGCCUCUCUAAGCAUUUAGUUUCAUUUUUUCAAAAUGUUAUCUCUUGUGCAACUAAUGUGUUUUCUAUGACAGUUCCUAGUGCAUAAAUAGAGUAGAAUGUACUUGGUCGAUCUGAAGGUCGGGGGUGGUAGGUGGAGUUUUUAACUUAUAAGAAACGGGGGGAAGGUGUGGAAAACAAAAGGCAAAAGUCUAUUUAUUGGUUUUUGACCUUGCUUUGCGUGGUCUUCUGCUUCCUGGUUGUUGCGCCUAUAUUUUUAUAUUUAUUUUAUUCAUUAUUUGCUGCCUUUUGCAGCUAAUUGUUGAACUGUUACAUAUAUUAAAUUUUUGUUUGUUAUACUGUGACUGACGUUUUUCAUCUUUUUCUAAUCCACCUUUUGCUACCUUGCAGCAUAAUUAAUUAAUACAUACUUAGCAUCCUACUUUUCUUUGUCUAUGCCGUGUACAAAUAUGUGCAAUAUUAGUGUUUCUUUGAUAUGUAUACCCAUCGAUUGUCAAAUCUUGGCUUCUUAAUAUAUCUGUUAACUAGACACAUUUCCUUUUGUACAUUGGCAUUCAGUUUGCUGUACUUGCAUCUAAAAAGAAAUCAUGGGCCUUGGAAGCUGGUUGAGCACCCAAUUAGUGUCACGUAAAGAUACUUUCUAUGAGGAACAGUCAUUAAACAUCAAUGUGUGACUCACCGUACAUAGGGUAUUGCUUUACGUGCUAUUUUAGAUGCUUUGAGGAAGCCUGCAGAUUCAGAAGUUUGUUCCUUCCUAGUUUAUCAGUUAAUGUUAUUAUUGUGAAUUUCAGUUUUACCUUGGAUUUAUAACAUUCUGAUGUUUUCCUUUGAGAGUAUGGCAUUGGAGCAGAGUGUGGACCAUCUCAUUGAGUGGCCACAGUAUAGAGAGGGCACUCAACAGUAUUUCAGCGGCUUAUACCGAACCUGAUGGUGGCCAUAGUGCCAAUACUGCUCACCGACGCGGUCAUAUUCAAUCUUCAGCUCCACAUAUAGAGUCACUAAGUGGUGCUUUGCUAUCAAUACAAUCUGCCUCAUCGGAUUUACCACGGUCGUCUAAAUCAACCUCAGCAAGUAAAUUAUCAGCUUUUGCAACACUGUGAAGCUGAAAGUGUAUCAUACCUGGAUGAGGUGGCCAGCAAUACAACAACUCAGGAUAUGGCACACACUCUGUUGGACUCGAGUUUUUGCAACUCUGUGAAGCUGAAAGUGUAUCAUACCUGGAUGAGUUGGCCAGCAAUGGCAACUCAGGAUAUGGCAAAGUUUGUUGGACUCGAGGUUCCUGCAUUGCGGAAAAAAGCUUGGUAUAGAUUCAAGACAGUUAAAUGCUCCCUCCAAUAACUCCCUCCAAGGCAAGUUACCAGAUGGGGCAACUUGAGCUUAAUACAAAGCUCUUGACAAAUGCCGUCUUAUAUGCUUCAAAUUAUCUGCCAUUCAUCAUAAAGUGUGUUUAUAGGGUUUGUAUUUUCUGUAUGUAUUUUGUGUAGUGCAAGCAGUGUGUAAUGUUUUUUUGUAUGUAUGUGUAAAGUGUGUGUAUUUGUGUAGUGCAAACAGUGUGUAUAUUUUAUGUAUUUUGUGUAUAGUGUAUGUACUGCAUUGCGUUUUGUUGUGUGCGGACACUAUGUGUA